This 2142-nucleotide ribosomal RNA is filed under the name Triticum aestivum (bread wheat). RNAcentral's name for it is "partial small subunit ribosomal RNA". Lineage: Eukaryota; Viridiplantae; Streptophyta; Magnoliopsida; Poales; Poaceae. The record is from RNAcentral.
AUGCCUGCGCUCGCCGUGGACGCCGCGGCCCCCGUGGCCCACCCCUUCGCCGCGUCCUGCGACGCGUCGCCGCGCUUCGUCGCCGCGCCGCUGAUGCUGGGCCCCGCCGCCGUCGUCGCCGCGGCCGCCGCCGAGAAGCCCGAGGUGGCCGCCUGGUCGGCCGACCUCUCGUCGGCGCUCUACAACGUGGACGGCUGGGGCGCGCCCUACUUCUUCGUCAACGACGACGGCGACGUCGCGGUGCGCCCGCACGGCGCCGCCACGCUGCCCGGCCAGGAGAUCGACCUCGCCAAGGUGGUCGCCCGGGCCGCCGGCGCGCGCGCCGGCGGCGGGCUCGGCCUCGCGCUGCCGCUGCUCGUGCGCUUCCCCGACGUGCUCCGCCACCGCGUCGAGACCCUCAACGCCGCCUUCGGCUACGCCGUGCGCUCCACGGGCUACGCCGGGCGGUACCAGGGCGUCUACCCCGUCAAGUGCAACCAGGACCGGUACGUGGUGGAGGACAUCGUCGAGUUCGGCGCGCCCUUCGGGUUCGGCCUCGAGGCCGGCUCCAAGCCCGAGCUGCUGCUCACCAUGAGCUGCCUCGUCGCCCGCGGCAGCCCCGACGCCCUGCUCAUCUGCAACGGCUACAAGGACCUCGAGUACGUCUCGCUCGCGCUCAUCGCCCGCACCAUGGGCCUCAACACCGUCAUCGUGCUCGAGCAGGAGGAGGAGCUCGACAUUGUCGUCGAGGCCAGCCGCCGCCUCAACAUCCGCCCGGUGGUCGGCAUGCGCGCAAAGCUGCGCACCAAGCACGCCGGCCACUUCGGCGCCACCUCCGGCGAGAAGGGCAAGUUCGGCCUCAACGCCGCGCAGAUUCUCUCCGUGGUGGCCAAGCUCAAGGCCCUCGCCAUGCUCGACUGCCUCCAGCUCCUGCACUUCCACAUUGGCUCCCAGAUCCCCACCACGGCUCUGCUCGCCGACGGGGUCGGCGAGGCCGCGCAGAUCUACUGCGAGCUCGCCCGCCUCGGCGCGGCCAUGCGCGUCAUUGACGUCGGCGGCGGCCUCGGCAUCGACUACGACGGGACGCACUCGGCGCAGACCGACAUGUCGGUGGCCUACAGCCUGGAGGAGUACGCGGCGGCCGUGGUCGCCGCCGUCGGCCGCGUCUGCGACCGCAAGGGCGUGCAGCACCCUGUCAUCUGCAGCGAGAGCGGCCGCGCGCUGGUGUCGCACCACUCGGUCCUCAUCUUCGAGGCCUUCUCCGCGACGGCGCCGGCUUCCAACAUGAUGGACCCGGCGACCGCCUACCUGCUCGAUGAGCUCACCGACGACUGCCGCAGCGACUACCGCAACCUCAUGGCCUCGGCCGUGCGCGGCGACUUCGACACCUGCGGCCUGUACGCGGACCAGCUGAAGCGGCGCUGCGCCGAGCAGUUCAAGGAGGGUGUCCUCGGGCUGGAGCACCUCGCCGCCGUGGACGGGCUGUGCGAGAUCGUCGCCCGCGGCAUGGGCGCGGCGGAGGGGCCGCGCAGGUACCACAUCAACCUGUCGGUGUUCACCUCGCUGCCGGACAUGUGGGCCAUCGAGCAGCUCUUCCCCAUCAUCCCCAUCCAGCGGCUCCAGGAGCGGCCCGCCGUGGACGGCGUGCUCUCGGACCUGACCUGCGACAGCGACGGCAAGGUGGACCAGUUCAUCGGCGGCAGGAGCAGCCUCCCUCUGCACGAGCUCCCGACCCACGGCACCCGCGGCUACUACCUGGGCAUGUUCCUGGGCGGCGCCUACCAGGAGGCGCUGGGCGGCCUGCACAACCUGUUCGGCGGGCCGAGCGUGGUGCGCGUCUCCCAGAGCGACGGGCCGCACUGCUUCGCGGUGACGCGCGCCGCGCCGGGCCCGUCCUGCGCCGACGUGCUCCGCGCCAUGCAGCACGAGCCGGAGGUGAUGUUCGAGGUGCUCAAGCAGAGGACCGCCGACGACGGCGCCACCGCCGCGGCCCUCGCCAGGGCGUUCGGGUCAAUGCCGUACCUGUCGUUCGACGCCGAGGAGGCCUCGGCCAUGAGCGGCGCGGAGUCGAGCGGCAUGAGCAGCGACUCGGAGGGGUCGGCGGCGGGCGCCGCCGAGGAUGAUGACGAGGAGUGGGAGUUCAUGCGCGGGCUCACCGUGUGA